CACGAUCAGAUAUGAAUCAUUUGUUACAAGCACGUAAAGUUGAAAAUUAUGCGACUUAGAUAAAAGUCGAACAAUGUAAUGCAAAAAAGAAGCUGAAAUAUUUAAGCCCUCCAAGUUUCAAAGUUGAAGUCUUCAAGUCCGUCGGUCUUCAAGUUGAAGUAUUCAAAUUUUCUGAUCUUCAAGUUGAAAUAUUUAUACCCUCCAAGUCUCAAAGUUGAAGUCUUCAAGUCCGUAGGUCUUCAAAUCGCCGAUCUUCAAGCUGAAAUAUUUAGGCUCUGCACAUCUCAAAGUUGAAGUCUUCAAGUUCGUCGGUUUUUAUGUUUCAGCCUUCAAAUUCGUCGAUCUUGAAGUUGAAUUGUUUAAGCCCUCCGAAUCUUCGAGUUGAAGUCUGCAAAGCUUGCCAAAUCUUCAAAGUUUUUCAAGUCGAUGUCAUCUUUGAGUUGAAGCUUUAUAAUUUUCAAAUCUUAUGGUGGACAUAUAAGUCCCUUUGCACCUUAAGUUGGCCUCCUCGCGGUUUUGUCCUUUAAAGGAACUAUAACUUUCCAAUCUUAAGGUGGACAUACGAGUCCCUUUACACCUUAAGUUGGCCUCGCCGAUAGUUGAGCCACAUUGAGAGUAAUCUUUCUGAUAGUCAGGCCACAUUGAGAGUAAUCUCUCCAAUAGUCGGGCCUUUUUUAGAGUAAUCUCUCCCAUAUUUAGGCCAUAUUCUGUGGAAAUAUAAGUUUUCCAAUCUUAAGGUGGACAUAUACGUCUCUUUGAACCUUAAGUUGGCCUCGCCGAUAGUCGAGCCAUUUUGAGAGUAAUUUCUCGGAUAGUUAGGCCACAUUGAGAGUAAUCUCUCCGAUAGUCAAGCCACAUUUUGUACCUUACGGUGUACAUAUGAGUCCUUUUGCACCUUAAGUUGGCCUCUCGAUAGUCGAGUCACAUU
RNAcentral lists this long non-coding RNA (928 nucleotides) under Nicotiana benthamiana. RNAcentral describes it as "long non-coding RNA (NBEN_LNC032821)". Lineage: Eukaryota; Viridiplantae; Streptophyta; Magnoliopsida; Solanales; Solanaceae. The record is from RNAcentral.